AGGGUUCGAUUCUGGCUCAGGAUGAACGCUAGCGGCAGGCCUAAUACAUGCAAGUCGGACGGGAUCCGGCCUUUCGGGGCCGGUGAGAGUGGCGGACGGGUGCGUAACGCGUAUGCAACCCACCCUGUCCCGGCGGGUAGCCGGUGGAAACGCCGGGUAAUCCGCCAUGCGCCCUGGGGGGCAUCCCCCUUGGGUGAAAGCGGCGACGCGGGACGGGACGGGCAUGCGUCCCAUUAGGUAGUCGGCGGGUGACGGCCCACCGAGCCCACGAUGGGUAGGGGAUCUGAGAGGACGGUCCCCCACACUGGCACUGAGACACGGGCCAGACUCCUGCGGGAGGCAGCAGUAGGGGAUAUUGGGCAAUGGGGGCAACCCUGACCCAGCCAUGCCGCGUGAAGGGAAUGAGGCCCUACGGGUCGUGAACCUCUUUUGACCGGGGACAAUGUCCCGCACGAGAUGCGGGAUUGAGGGUACCGGUGGAAUAAGCAUCGGCUAACUCCGUGCCAGCCGCUGC
RNAcentral lists this ribosomal RNA (514 nucleotides) under uncultured bacterium. Its description in RNAcentral is "bacterial SSU rRNA". It matches the Rfam family "Bacterial small subunit ribosomal RNA", at positions 8 to 518 of the family's 1533-position model. The record is from RNAcentral.